RNAcentral lists this ribosomal RNA (399 nucleotides) under uncultured bacterium. RNAcentral's name for it is "bacterial SSU rRNA". It matches the Rfam family "Bacterial small subunit ribosomal RNA", at positions 356 to 773 of the family's 1533-position model. The record is from RNAcentral.
GGGGAAUAUUGCACAAUGGAGGAAACUCUGAUGCAGCGACGCCGCGUGAACGAUGAAGGUCUUCGGAUCGUAAAGUUCUGUCCUAGGGGACGAUAGUGACGGUACCCUAGGAGGAAGCCCCGGCUAACUACGUGCCAGCAGCCGCGGUAAUACGUAGGGGGCGAGCGUUGUCCGGAAUUAUUGGGCGUAAAGGGUUCGUAGGCGGUCUUUUAAGUCAGAUGUGAAAGGUCACGGCUCAACCGUGGUAAGCAUUUGAAACUGAAGGACUUGAGUUAAGGAGAGGAAAGUGGAAUUCCUAGUGUAGCGGUGAAAUGCGUAGAUAUUAGGAGGAAUACCAGUGGCGAAGGCGACUUUCUGGACUUAUACUGACGCUGAGGAACGAAAGCGUGGGGAGCAAAC